Molecule: long non-coding RNA, 4441 nt
Organism: Numida meleagris (helmeted guineafowl)
Lineage: Eukaryota; Metazoa; Chordata; Aves; Galliformes; Numididae
Exons: 2
Source: RefSeq, a predicted model, not a curated record
UCCAUUGUGAGUGGAUCCUCAGAUCCUGAAAUAAAAGGGUAACUUUUGCAAAAGUGACUUUGAGAACAAGAAAAAAUAAUUUAAAUAUCAGCAGUUAAGACUGCUUGCUUAUAACAAUGACUGCGAAGAGGUUAAUAAAUGGAAAACUCACCUGGAAAAAAAAUAUACAAGAAAGCCUCUGAUUAGAUAAUGAGUGGACUUUGUAUUGCUUGUACAAUGAUUGCCUGAAUUACUUACUUCCAAAUACUCAGCCCUGACUUUUUAAAUAAAAACCUUUAACCUGGUAUGAUCAUCCAGAGCAUAAGAGAUUUGUUAUUAAUUAAACUAUUUUCUGCAAUCAUGUUUAGAGGUUAACAGUACAAAGUGCUAUUCCAGAACCGUGGGAGUAAAAGAAGUGAUUCUUGCAAACUGUGGAAGAAAAGGAGAGGAGCAGAACUCAGUGCUGUCACUUUUCUCCAUUGUUGACUAACAUUUACCCAGAGAAUCAUAUCGUUGAGGUACAAAGUGAUGUUAGUGUUCCUACGCAAGUCGCUACUUCUAACAGCCUUUUUGAAUUACUUGAAGUACUCUCUUAAAAUAACUUCUGAUUUUGAAGAACUGCAAAAUCAGGAUCUUGGACAUUAUUGGGCUCCUAGCGUGACUUACAGUCAACUCCCUAGUAAGUGAAGCUGCAAUAAAAAACAAUGAGCUGCAAAUGUUUCUAUUUGUUGAAGACCAUUUGCACAGAACAGCAUGAAAGAAGGUUGAGCAACAUUGUUAUGGAGGGCUGUGGAUAACUGUGGAAGAAAGACUUAGCAAUAUGGAUCAGUGCCAGAGCAAACAGGAGAAGCUGCCAAACUCUUCCGCAGCUAUCUUCUGUCAUCUUAUCAGUACUUUUAAAUGAUAGGUAGCAUAGGUUUGGAAAAAAAGGCUGCCUCUAUUACCUCAGCAAAAUAUUUAAUAGCUUGGUGAGAUUUUACACACAAGAUAAUCACGGCAAGGGCCAAACAAUAAAACAAGUACAAAUUACAGUUAGGCAACUCACAGAAAGACAUGAAAAAUGACUCUUACGUCAUGAAGUUAUGGUACAUGAAAAAAACGGAGUGAAGUAAAAUUAGCAUCACCACGAGAUCAUCUUUUCUAAAUAUCUGGAGAACAAAGGAAGCACAAUAAAGUCAACAGACAUUCUAAAAUAUGGUCUUUAUUCCAACUAGCCUAAAAUUUUUAUUUUCUUCCAGAGGUCAUAUCCUGAAAUGGGGAGUCCAGGAAAAUUUCCAUUAUAAGUGACUUUGGAAAUCUGAACUAAGAUUUUUUCUUCCUAUAAGUUUUCUCUGAAAAACAAUGUGUUUUAAGAAAUACCACUGUUGAAAUCAAACUUACUUUAUAAAUGGUGCCUCAGAUCAAUAACUAGAAAUUAAUGAAUUAAACACGUUCAGUGUCUUGUAAUGUUGAAUGUUAAAUAAUAGAAAACCAUAAUAUUUGAAUGUUUCCUUUGAAGCAGCAAGCUGUAUCUAUUAGAGUACUGACAAAUCUUAGCCAAAGUUAAGAGUGUAACUGUACUUCUAUUUUAUAGGUGUUGAAGCUACUCCUUAUCCUGCAUUCUUUAGAAACUUAUACAUAUACACCUGUCAGAGGGAGAACCAUAAAAAAAGCUUGUAAUUUGUUUCAGACCUCAAGAAAGAUGAGCCUCAGAGGAAAUCACUGUGCCCAAAGUACCUCUGAUUGCACAAUAACAUGCAAUAAGUAAAGCAGGCAAAAUGGCUAUACAUUUCUUCAUUCUCUUUCCCAGCUUCCCUCCACAACACUUGGAACACCGUCAAAAAACCUGUAUACGAUGUGAGAGCAAUUAGGUAGAGGUAUGCUGCUGUGUGGUUUCUUAAUUUCUUAAUAUGUGCCAAUUUGGAUUUUUACCUCAACUCAGGCUACCAUCUUAUUUAACCAGGCUUAACCCCUUAUUUAACUGCAUUUAACAGAAAAAUCACAGAGGAAAAAAUGCAAGCAAGACAAAAUAUGUUAGACUUUAGUCGAAGGUUACACCUUUAGUCAGAGCAAUGGUUGCAUAAUUUGAAGCAGUGCUGGUUUGGCCAGCUUACUUGCCAGAGCCAAGCACCUGCUACUUCAGCAGAGCCAGCAGGGAACAGGUCGUACAGACCUCUGCACAGACCGAGGGUUAGUCAUUGCCACAUCUGGGCAGACUUUCACUAAAGCAGCCAAACAAAAGAUGUUUGGUCAGGCAGCCAAUUACUGUGCUUCAUUUCCUUUGAUCUAUUAUGUAAAGACAACAUCAGGGUGAAGAAACAAAACGUUUCAGUGAGCUAUUUGAUGUAGGUGAGGAGGAACAACAAAAAAGUCUGGAUAUGAUCUAGAAGGGUGAAGUAAUUGCGAUGGACUGAAUAAAGCAAGCUGAGGGGAAGUGGAAGAUUAGUGGUUGGGUUCUGACCACCAGGAGACUCAUCUCCUAGACAAUGCUGUACCAUCUCGCACAACAGUGCCAUCUGAACAUAGACAGUGAUAUGUCAGCUUCCACAAGAGCUCAGCUAUCCUCUUAUUCACACAUUUUCAGUGGCCAUGCCUGAUAGCCACUACCCUAUCAGAAUCUGCAGCUGAGAGAUGGAUGGAUUUCAAGCUAAAAACUUGCACGCCAUCCACCCCUAGCACUGAGCCAGAGAAAGCUGCCUUAAGCAUUUUAUAUUUCCAUUCUGUUCGGGAGUGUUGCAACUUAGUUUGUUAACACUCUCUUCCAUCAUUCUUAUUCUUCAGUAAUUCUUAGAAAAUAUUUGCACAAAGUCAAACAGGUUCUUGAGAUCUAAGUGGAGAGAACAGAAAAGAAACAAUUCUUCGCCAGCCAUUCAUGUAUAGACAAACACUAAAUUCUGUUAAUGCUGAAACAAUAAUCUCAUUGUUAUACAAAGGCUUACUGCAUCAAAAAAAGGUAUUGAAAUAAAUAUAAAAAACCAGAAUUCUCAGCAUGAACAAAAGUCAUUCAAAAAAUGAACAAAAGUUUAAAAAUGGUAACAAGUGAGAGGAAUAAUGAAAGAAUAAGCACUGAUGUUAACAGCCACAGCAAGUCUGUACUGAACAUUUUUUAUCAUAUACUAUCAAACAGGAUGUGCAGUUUUGCUUCUGUCUUGUUUCAUUACAGUUUUACAAUAUUUGAGUUGAACUGAAACAAGAUUGAGGUGAGUGUUUCAAGGUUUUCAAGAAAUUAUCAGAAUAGUGUGCCCACGUUCCUCUGAAGAAAAGGUUGAAGUAACCUGCAUCUAAUGUUUUCUUUCAAGGUAAACUAUCAUCACUUAACAAAACAGGUCAGGCUGUAAUUUCUAGGCUUGGGGAGAAAAAAAAAAUACAGUUAUUCUGCUCUGGUAAGCAGGAUGUAAAAAAAAAUAAUAAUAAAAACACCUGAAAAUAAGCUUCAGCACAGCUCCUGAAGGCCUGUUUUCUCUCAGAAAGCAAUGAAGUGAGACCUCCAAUUGUACUAGAGUUGAAGUUCAACUUUGGGUGGAACUUCACCAUGACAUAGUUCAAGCUUUUAUUGUACUACUAAGUCACAUCAGCUCUAUACAGCAAUCCAGGCUGUAAAAAUAUCACCACCAGUGAAUCUGAUAUCAAGCUAUUUCACUUGCUCCUUUUACACCAGUGUCUCAUUGUUUAGCCUCAAUUAGCUGUCAGAUUACGGAAAGAGGCAAACUUUGCACACACAGGGCAUUUUUGGGAAUCUUCAGUCUAUGUGAUCCAUCCCCACAACUGAAAUCAUCUUGAACAAGAAAAGGACCUCUGAACUUCUCAUGUGAAAAAUUUUCCUAAGAAAAGUAUAGUGGUACUUUACUAACGGGACAAAAGAGAGAGGGAAUGUGACACAGACUUUGCUAGUACCUUUAAUGGUUACUUGGGAGAUGGUGGUUGAGCACAGAUUAUAAAGGUCUUUAUCUCUGAUACCAGAUCAAAGAUUUAAAUGGGAAUCUAGCCGUUACUGAGUCAAACCACAGAUUUGGCAAACUUGCUUUAGUUACAUUUGCAAUCUCCAAAAUGGAGCAUUGUAUCUUCUUUCAGUUCUGCCCAAACCAGCUUUGUGCAAUUGCCCAUUACAUCCUCAGUGUCAGCUGGAUCAAGUGCUCAAAUUCAGCUUUGUAUGUCAUACCCUGGGUCAUCUCAACACAACUAUGAGGUCAAGUCUUAGUUCCAACUAAAUUCUAGAAUACUGCCUAUGAAGGAAGGCCAAGCUUUACCAUGGACUGUGUAUCUUGACAUAAUCCAGCAACAACAAAAGAUAGAACAUGCACUGUAUCUCUGUAUUGAUCCAUUUCUGCAAUAUUGUGUUGAAGCCUCAAACUCCGCGACAAGAAAUACCCCAAGUACAGAACGGUUUGGCUUGAGGGUACAUGGUCUCAGGCACUGCUGUACCACAGAUUCAAGCAGCACUCUCUUUUCAGAAGGCUUUGCAGAUUGAGAAGGUUCCGAACAG